AGUGAACGCUGGCGGUAGGCCUAACACAUGCAAGUCGAACGGCAGCACAGUAAGAGCUUGCUCUUACGGGUGGCGAGUGGCGGACGGGUGAGGAAUGCAUCGGAAUCUACUUUUUCGUGGGGGAUAACGUAGGGAAACUUACGCUAAUACCGCAUACGACCUACGGGUGAAAGCAGGGGAUCUUCGGACCUUGCGCGAUUGAAUGAGCCGAUGUCGGAUUAGCUAGUUGGCGGGGUAAAGGCCCACCAAGGCGACGAUCCGUAGCUGGUCUGAGAGGAUGAUCAGCCACACUGGAACUGAGACACGGUCCAGACUCCUACGGGAGGCAGCAGUGGGGAAUAUUGGACAAUGGGCGCAAGCCUGAUCCAGCCAUACCGCGUGGGUGAAGAAGGUCUUCGGGUUGUAAAGCCCUUUUGUUGGGAAAGAAAAGCAGCAGGUUAAUACCCCGCUGUUCUGACGGUACCCAAAGAAUAAGCACCGGCUAACUUCGUG
Molecule: ribosomal RNA, 492 nt
Filed under: uncultured bacterium
Lineage: Bacteria
Description: partial 16S ribosomal RNA
Rfam family: Bacterial small subunit ribosomal RNA
Source: RNAcentral